This 645-nucleotide ribosomal RNA is filed under the name uncultured bacterium. Its description in RNAcentral is "bacterial SSU rRNA". It matches the Rfam family "Bacterial small subunit ribosomal RNA", at positions 202 to 842 of the family's 1533-position model. The record is from RNAcentral.
CAAAGGGAGCAAUCCCGGCCACGGAUGGGCAUGGGGCGCAUUAGCUAGUCGGCGGGGUAACGGCCCACCGAGGCGACGAUGCGUAGGGGUUCUGAGAGGAAGGCCCCCCACACUGGUACUGAGACACGGACCAGACUCCUACGGGAGGCAGCAGUGAGGAAUAUUGGUCAAUGGGCGCGAGCCUGAACCAGCCAAGUCGCGUGAGGGAGGACGGCCCUACGGGUUGUAAACCUCUUUUGCCGGGGAGCAACGGGCGCCACGUGUGGCGCCACUGAGAGUACCCGGAGAAAAAGCAUCGGCUAACUCCGUGCCAGCAGCCGCGGUAAUACGGAGGAUGCGAGCGUUAUCCGGAUUUAUUGGGUUUAAAGGGUGCGUAGGCGGAUCGUUAAGUCAGUGGUCAAAUUGAGGGGCUCAACCCCUUCCCGCCAUUGAAACUGGCGAUCUUGAGUGGAAGAGAAGUAUGCGGAAUGCGUGGUGUAGCGGUGAAAUGCAUAGAUAUCACGCAGAACCCCGAUUGCGAAGGCAGCAUGCCGGCUUCCGACUGACGCUGAAGCACGAAAGCGUGGGGAUCGAACAGGAUUAGAUACCCUGGUAGUCCACGCGGUAAACGAUGAGCGCUAGGUGUCCGGGGGGAAUGGCCCCUGG